UGAGGAAUAUUGGUCAAUGGACGCAAGUCUGAACCAGCCAUGCCGCGUGCAGGAUGACGGCUCUAUGAGUUGUAAACUGCUUUUGUAUGAGGGUAAACUCAUCUACGUGUAGGUGACUGAAAGUAUCAUACGAAUAAGGAUCGGCUAACUCCGUGCCAGCAGCCGCGGUAAUACGGAGGAUCCAAGCGUUAUCCGGAUUUAUUGGGUUUAAAGGGUGCGCAGGCGGUUUGAUAAGUCAGUGGUGAAAACUUGGGGCUUAACCCCAAGCUUGCCUCUGAUACUGUCGAACUAGAGAUUGGUUGCGGUAGGCGGAAUGUAUGGUGUAGCGGUGAAAUGCUUAGAGAUCAUACAGAACACCGAUUGCGAAGGCAGCUUACCAAGCCACAUCUGACGCUCAGGCACGAAAGCAUGGGUAGCAAACA
RNAcentral lists this ribosomal RNA (422 nucleotides) under uncultured Bacteroidota bacterium. Its description in RNAcentral is "bacterial SSU rRNA". It matches the Rfam family "Bacterial small subunit ribosomal RNA", at positions 355 to 774 of the family's 1533-position model. Lineage: Bacteria; Pseudomonadati; Bacteroidota. The record is from RNAcentral.